CAGCCGCCGCGGUAAUACGAGGGGUGCAAGCGUUAUUCGGAUUGAUUGGGUGUAAAGGGUGUGCAGACGGCUUAUUAAGUCUCUUGUUAAAUUCUUCGGCCUAACUGAAGGUCUGCAAGUGAUACUGAUGAGCUAGAGGGUGGAAGAGAGAAGUGGAAUUCCCGGAGUAGCGGUAAAAUGCGUAGAUCUCGAGAGGAACACCAAUGGCGAAGGCAGCUUCUUGGUCCAUUCCUGACGUUCAUACACGAAAGCGUGGGGAGCAAACAGGAUUAGAUACCCCCGUAGUCCCUGUCUCUUAUAC
This 301-nucleotide ribosomal RNA is filed under the name uncultured bacterium. RNAcentral describes it as "partial 16S ribosomal RNA". It matches the Rfam family "Bacterial small subunit ribosomal RNA", at positions 509 to 807 of the family's 1533-position model. The record is from RNAcentral.